Molecule: long non-coding RNA, 2697 nt
Organism: Dreissena polymorpha
Lineage: Eukaryota; Metazoa; Mollusca; Bivalvia; Myida; Dreissenidae
Exons: 3
Source: RefSeq, a predicted model, not a curated record
AGGACCUGUAGCCAUGUAGCCAAUUUCCUGCUAGUUGGCUUUCACACUCACACACACGGCACGGUUUUUAUUAGUGUCCCACGCAAAGCAGGCCUCCCAGUGGAAACCUGAGAUAUUUUUCGGCUUUUUUGAAACACAUUUUGAAAAUUUAUUUAGAAUUAUAUAUGGUCAGCUAGGGGGCCUGUAUUUUGUGUGUAUUGUGCUCACAUUGAUGGGUGAUUGGUAUAUUUGCCUGCUUUAAUAAUAUCUUAUAUUAAUAAUUAUAACUUUUAGACCAAUAUUAAUUCAUAUUCUAACACAGCAUGGUUUUAAAAUACUCAUGUAUACUCACUAUUUUCCAAACCUGCCAAAAGCUAGCCAGUGUAUAUUUUUGAAUUGUUAAGCUCCUGUCCAGUGAUUUGCGUUUAAAAAUAAAACUGCAUUGAAAUCAACACAUUUAUAAUGUUUUGGUAAUUUCUUUGGGUUCAUUUUCUUUUUAACUGGUGAUGGCUCCUUGGUAAAUCUGUGUGUAGUUCUUACAUUAAUUAUCAUGUUGUAUAUUAGUAUUCAUUUAUUAUUAAUGAUAUUCAAUGUAAUGCGUUUAAUAGUAAUAGUAUAUAAUGACAUUUUAACUGAAUGUUUUCUAACUUAAUAAGUAUACAUUUUUUUUACUAAGAAACAGUAAACAGAAAUAGGAUUGAAAUUUAUAAUCAUAACAAUUUUCAAAUUACCAUGUUUGAAAUAAAAUACUUAACAGACAUUGGCUUACUUUUUUCCCGAAUAUUAGACUUUCUAACAGUAUUUCUACCCUUUUUGUGCUUGUUAAUCACUAAAGGGAAAUAACCCAAGAAUGCACUUUUUCACCCCCUUGCACGCAUUCAGAAUAUUACGUAACUUACAUGUAACUUACUAACAUAGAUUGGACUUAACUCAUGGAUUUGUAUUACCUUUGUAUUUCAGGAGGAAGGUGUAGUGUGUCAUAUUUCUUUGUAAUUUUUGCUAGUUAUCUAGCAAUAUUUAAAAACAGCACUUAUUACUACUAGUUUUAUUUAUUUAGUUUAACAUAAUUAUAUUUUUCUAUUUAAUAUGUUAUGGUAAUUACUAAUUACUUACAUUACAAUGUUUAAAUACACUCUGUAUCAUUACCGGUAAUAUGUUUAUUGUGUAUUGCUUACAUCUAACCGUUUGAUAAUUAUGGAUUUCUACAAAUUGUACUAUUUUAUAUACAAUGAUUUUCACUUGCACAGUUUCUUUAUGUGGGCAUUGUUAUAAAGUCUCAUAUAUUGUAAAGACCCAUUUGAUGUAAAGUUCUAUUUACUUUGUCUCAUAUAUUGUAAAGACCCAUUUGAUGUAAAGUUCUAUUUACUUUGUCUCAUAUAUUGUAAAGACCCAUUUGAUGUAAAGUUCUAUUUACUAUGUCUCAUAUAUUGUAAAGACCCAUUUGAUGUAAAGUUCUAUUUACUAUGUCUCAUAUAAUGUAAGGACACAUUUGCGCGUAAAGUGGCAUAAUGCUGUAAAGACCCAUUUGCAUUAAUUUCUAGCUGCUAUGAAGUCCCAUUUAAUGUACAGAUUUGUUUGCUGCAAAGUUCAAUUUGCAGUAACAUUCUCUCUGCUGUAAAUUCCCAUUUAUUGUAAAGAUUUGUUUGCUGCAAAGUCCAAUUUGCAGUAACAUUCUUUCUGCUGUAAAGUCCCAUUUAAUGUAAAGACUCGUUUGUUGCAAUGUAACAUCUGUAAAGACUCAUCUGUUGUCAUCUGUUUAGUCCCAUCUCAUACAAAGGUCCCAUUUACUGUUAAGUCUCGUCUCAUAAAAAGGUCCCAUUUACUGUUAAGUCUCGUCUCAUAAAAAGGUCCCAUUUACUGUUAAGUCUCGUCUCAUAAAAAGGUCCCAUUUACUGUUAGGUCUCGUCUCAUAAAAAGGUCCCAUGUACUGUUAAGUCUCGUCUCAUAAAAAGGUCCCAUGUAUUGUUGAGUCCCAUCUCAUAAAAAGGUCCCAUUUACUGUUAAGUCUCGUCUCAUAAAAAGGUCCCAUUUACUGUUAAGUCUCGUCUCAUAAAAAGGUCCCAUUUACUGUUAAGUCUCGUCUCAUAAAAAGGUCCCAUUUACUGUUAAGUCUCGUCUCAUAAAAAGGUCCCAUUUACUGUUAAGUCUCGUCUCAUAAAAAGGUCCCAUUUACUGUUAAGUCUCGUCUCAUAAAAAGGUCCCAUUUACUGUUAGGUCUCGUCUCAUAAAAAGGUCCCAUGUACUGUUAAGUCUCGUCUCAUAAAAAGGUCCCAUGUAUUGUUGAGUCCCAUCUCAUAAAAAGGUCCCAUUUACUGUUAAGUCUCGUCUCAUAAAAAGGUCCCAUUAACUGUUAAGUCCCAUCUCAUAUAAAGGUCCCAUUUACUGUUAAGUCUCGUCUCAUAAAAAGGUCCCAUGUACUGUUUAGUCUCGUCUCAUAAAAAGGUCCCAUGUACUGUUAAGUCCCGUCUCAUAAAAAUUCCUAUGUACUGUUAAGUCCUAUCUAUAAAAAGGUCCCAUUCACUGUUCAGUCCCAUCUCAUAAAAAGUCCCAUUUACUGUUCAGUCCCAUAUCAUAAACAGUCCCAUUUACUGUCAAGUCCCAUCUCAUAAAAAUGUGGCAUUUACUGUUCAGUCCUGUCUCAUGUUAAGUCCCAUUUGCUGUAAAGACCCAUGUGCCUUCUGGUUCCCUGGUUGGUUUAAUCCUUGUGUGUGUUUCUGG